This 414-nucleotide ribosomal RNA is filed under the name Aurospio sp. 249 PB. RNAcentral describes it as "partial 16S ribosomal RNA". It matches the Rfam family "Bacterial large subunit ribosomal RNA", at positions 1958 to 2593 of the family's 2925-position model. Lineage: Eukaryota; Metazoa; Annelida; Polychaeta; Spionida; Spionidae. The record is from RNAcentral.
AGCAUAAUCAUUUGCCUUUUAAUUGGAGGCUUGUAUGACGGACACACGAAAACGCAACUUUCUUAUCGAGGAAAAUAAAAAUUAACCUUCAAGUGAAGAGACUUGAGUACCAUAAAAAGACGAAAAGACCCUAUGGAGCUUUACUUAAGUUAUUAAACCACAAAUAAAAAAAGCUUUUUUUACUAAAAAAGUUUAGUUGGGGCGACUAAGGAGCACACACCACCCUCCUACUGACAAAAGACUCUAAAUCUACAAAAGAUCCACAAACGUGAAUAAAAAUCCAGCUACCCUAGGGAUAACAGGCUAAUCCUCCUUAAGAGCUCAAAUUGACAGGAGGGCUUGGCACCUCGAUGUUGGCUUAAGAUCUCUACUAAGUGCAGCAGCUUAGGUAGUAGGUUUGUUCAACCUUUAAAA